GAUGAAUUGGAUUGAUGAUACUUUGGCAAAGCAAGGUUUGCAUCACCACAAUGACUUUGUUGCUUGGUUAUAAUCAUUUUUCCUUUUAGUGCAAUGCAGCCAUUGUAUUAUGAUGUGUAGAGAUGCUUUUUUGUGGUGUGGAAUGGUCUGUUGCAGCGUGUUGCUUUGGUUCAUUUGAAGUCUUUGGAGUCUCUUUGACCAUCCCUUGUGUAAUUGUUGUUGCUGGCUCCCUAGAAAGUUUGAGUUUUGUAGCUAUUUUUUUGGUGAAUUUGUUGGUUAUUUGGUUUCUAUAUCAUUAUAGCUGUUGUCUUGUUUAUUGGUCUCUUGGUUUUUUGGCAGACUUGGUUCUCAGAUUAUCUAGGCUUUGUUUAGUGUUGGUUCAUGGUUUUAUCUUGCAACUUUCUUUAGGUUUUUCCACUUAACAUGCUCCGUCUUUGAUUGGGUGUAGUGGGGAGGAUCUGCUGACCUAGAUUUAG
Molecule: unclassified non-coding RNA, 476 nt
Filed under: Hevea brasiliensis (rubber tree)
Lineage: Eukaryota; Viridiplantae; Streptophyta; Magnoliopsida; Malpighiales; Euphorbiaceae
Source: RNAcentral